Molecule: ribosomal RNA, 253 nt
Filed under: uncultured bacterium
Lineage: Bacteria
Description: partial 16S ribosomal RNA
Rfam family: Bacterial small subunit ribosomal RNA
Source: RNAcentral
GACGAACCGAGCGAACGUUAUUCGGAAUCACUGGGCUUAAAGGGUGCGUAGGCGGGCAAGUAAGUCAGGGGUGAAAUCCCACGGCCCAACCGUGGAAGUGCCUCUGAUACUGCGAGUCUAGAGGGGGAUAGGGGCAUGCGGAACUUCCGGUGGAGCGGUGAAAUGCGUAGAUAUCGGAAGGAACACCGGUGGCGAAAGCGGCGUGCUGGAUCCCUACUGACGCUGAGGCACGAAAGCCAGGGGAGCAAACGGG